RNAcentral lists this ribosomal RNA (1476 nucleotides) under Leuconostoc sp. RNAcentral's name for it is "bacterial SSU rRNA". It matches the Rfam family "Bacterial small subunit ribosomal RNA". Lineage: Bacteria; Bacillati; Bacillota; Bacilli; Lactobacillales; Lactobacillaceae. The record is from RNAcentral.
UGGAUCUGGGCUCGGAUGACGCUGGCGGCGUGCCUAAUACAUGCAAGUCGAACGCACAGCGAAAGGUGCUUGCACCUUUCAAGUGAGUGGCGAACGGGUGAGUAACACGUGGACAACCUGCCUCAAGGCUGGGGAUAACAUUUGGAAACAGAUGCUAAUACCGAAUAAAACUUAGUGUCGCAUGACACAAAGUUAAAAGGCGCUUCGGCGUCACCUAGAGAUGGAUCCGCGGUGCAUUAGUUAGUUGGUGGGGUAAAGGCCUACCAAGACAAUGAUGCAUAGCCGAGUUGAGAGACUGAUCGGCCACAUUGGGACUGAGACACGGCCCAAACUCCUACGGGAGGCUGCAGUAGGGAAUCUUCCACAAUGGGCGAAAGCCUGAUGGAGCAACGCCGCGUGUGUGAUGAAGGCUUUCGGGUCGUAAAGCACUGUUGUAUGGGAAGAACAGCUAGAAUAGGAAAUGAUUUUAGUUUGACGGUACCAUACCAGAAAGGGACGGCUAAAUACGUGCCAGCAGCCGCGGUAAUACGUAUGUCCCGAGCGUUAUCCGGAUUUAUUGGGCGUAAAGCGAGCGCAGACGGUUUAUUAAGUCUGAUGUGAAAGCCCGGAGCUCAACUCCGGAAUGGCAUUGGAAACUGGUUAACUUGAGUGCAGUAGAGGUAAGUGGAACUCCAUGUGUAGCGGUGGAAUGCGUAGAUAUAUGGAAGAACACCAGUGGCGAAGGCGGCUUACUGGACUGCAACUGACGUUGAGGCUCGAAAGUGUGGGUAGCAAACAGGAUUAGAUACCCUGGUAGUCCACACCGUAAACGAUGAACACUAGGUGUUAGGAGGUUUCCGCCUCUUAGUGCCGAAGCUAACGCAUUAAGUGUUCCGCCUGGGGAGUACGACCGCAAGGUUGAAACUCAAAGGAAUUGACGGGGACCCGCACAAGCGGUGGAGCAUGUGGUUUAAUUCGAAGCAACGCGAAGAACCUUACCAGGUCUUGACAUCCUUUGAAGCUUUUAGAGAUAGAAGUGUUCUCUUCGGAGACAAAGUGACAGGUGGUGCAUGGUCGUCGUCAGCUCGUGUCGUGAGAUGUUGGGUUAAGUCCCGCAACGAGCGCAACCCUUAUUGUUAGUUGCCAGCAUUCAGAUGGGCACUCUAGCGAGACUGCCGGUGACAAACCGGAGGAAGGCGGGGACGACGUCAGAUCAUCAUGCCCCUUAUGACCUGGGCUACACACGUGCUACAAUGGCGUAUACAACGAGUUGCCAACCCGCGAGGGUGAGCUAAUCUCUUAAAGUACGUCUCAGUUCGGAUUGUAGUCUGCAACUCGACUACAUGAAGUCGGAAUCGCUAGUAAUCGCGGAUCAGCACGCCGCGGUGAAUACGUUCCCGGGUCUUGUACACACCGCCCGUCACACCAUGGGAGUUUGUAAUGCCCAAAGCCGGUGGCCUAACCUUUUAGGAAGGAGCCGUCUAAGGCAGGACAGAU